RNAcentral lists this ribosomal RNA (448 nucleotides) under uncultured bacterium. RNAcentral describes it as "bacterial SSU rRNA". It matches the Rfam family "Bacterial small subunit ribosomal RNA", at positions 355 to 796 of the family's 1533-position model. The record is from RNAcentral.
UGGGGAAUAUUGGACAAUGGGCGAAAGCCUGAUCCAGCAAUGCCGCGUGUGUGAAGAAGGCCUUCGGGUUGUAAAGCACUUUAGGUCGGAAAGAAAAAGCUUCUUCUAAUACAAGAAGCCUUGACGGUACCGACAGAAUAAGCACCGGCUAACUCUGUGCCAGCAGCCGCGGUAAUACAGAGGGUGCAAGCGUUAAUCGGAUUUACUGGGCGUAAAGCGUGCGUAGGCGGUUUGUUAAGUCGGAUGUGAAAGCCCUGGGCUCAACCUGGGAACUGCAUUCGAUACUGGCAGGCUAGAGAACGGUAGAGGGAGGCGGAAUUCCGGGUGUAGCAGUGAAAUGCGUAGAUAUCCGGAGGAACACCGAUGGCGAAGGCAACCUCCUGGGCCUGUUCUGACGCUGAGGCACGAAAGCGUGGGUAGCAAACAGGAUUAGAUACCCGCGUAGUCC